This 72-nucleotide transfer RNA is filed under the name Synechococcus lacustris str. Tous. Its description in RNAcentral is "Synechococcus sp. Tous tRNA". It matches the Rfam family "tRNA". From Rfam's summary of the family: Transfer RNA (tRNA) molecules are approximately 80 nucleotides in length. Their secondary structure includes four short double-helical elements and three loops (D, anti-codon, and T loops). The record is from Rfam by way of RNAcentral. RNAcentral also lists the same sequence under 1 other name. Lineage: Bacteria; Bacillati; Cyanobacteriota; Cyanophyceae; Synechococcales; Synechococcaceae.
GCCGGCUUAGCUCAGCGGUAGAGCAGCGCUUUUGUARAGCGAAGGUCAUCGGUUCAAAUCCGUUAGCCGGCU